AUCGCUUCUCGGCCUUUUGGCUAAGAUCAAGUGUAAAUCCCCAGCCCCCACACUAUUUCAUACUUUUAUUCUUGUUCAGCCCUUAAUGCGCAUAAUUUAUAAAUUAAACUUUAUCAUAUAUAUGGAUAGGAAAAAAUAUAGUUAUAAGUACUACCCGUGGUUUCAGGAAUCUACUACUAGUCUUGGAACAGCUCCU
Heterocephalus glaber (naked mole-rat) is the source of this 196-nucleotide small nuclear RNA. Its record names the gene U2. It matches the Rfam family "U2 spliceosomal RNA". From Rfam's summary of the family: U2 is a small nuclear RNA (snRNA) component of the spliceosome (involved in pre-mRNA splicing). Complementary binding between U2 snRNA (in an area lying towards the 5' end but 3' to hairpin I) and the branchpoint sequence (BPS) of the intron results the bulging out of an unpaired adenosine, on the BPS, which initiates a nucleophilic attack at the intronic 5' splice site, thus starting the first of two transesterification reactions that mediate splicing. The record is from Ensembl. Lineage: Eukaryota; Metazoa; Chordata; Mammalia; Rodentia; Bathyergidae.